RNAcentral lists this non-coding RNA (784 nucleotides) under Chrysis clarinicollis. The record is from RNAcentral. Lineage: Eukaryota; Metazoa; Arthropoda; Insecta; Hymenoptera; Chrysididae.
UAUAAGUUGUAUUAUAAAUUUUAUAAGAAGUUAAUAAAUUUAAUUAUAGUUUUAUAGUUAGUUAAAAAAUUUGUAUAUAUAUAAAUAUUAAAUAUUUAAUAUAAAAAUUAGUAGUAUAUAAAUUUAAUAAAGUUAAAAAUAUUUAAUUUUAGGAAUUUUUAUAAUUUGGAUAAAUAAUUGUGCCAGCAAUCGUGGUUAAACAAUUCAAAUAAAUUAAUUUAAUUAAAUUAAAAUUAAAUGGAUAUAUUUAUAAUAAAAAUUUAAAUUGUUAGGUGAAAUUAAUUAAUUUAUAAUUGUUAUAUUUUUAAUAUAAAUUGAGUUUUUAAAAGAUUUAUAAAAAACUAGGAUUAGAUACCCUAUUAUAUUAUUAAAAGAGUUUAAUUUUAAUAUUAAAUGAUUAAUCAUUAAAUUUAAAUAAUUUGGCGGUAUUUUAAUUUUAUUAGAGGAAUUUGUUAAUUAAUUGAUAAUACUCGAUAAGUUAAACUUUAAUUAAAUUUUUAUAUUGUUGUUUUAAGAGUAUUUUUGUAAAAAUUAUUUAAAAUUUUUUUUUUUAAAAUUAAUUCAGAUCAAAAUGGAGUAUAUAUUAAAGAGUUAAUGAGUUACAAUAAAUUUGAUUUAAAUGAAUUUAUAAUUUAAAAAUUAUAAUGAAGGUGGAUUUAAAAGUAAAAUAAAAUAAUUAUUUUAUUUGAUUAAAAUUUUAAAGUAUGUACAAAUUGCCCGUCGUUCUCUUUGAAAAAAGAGGUAAGUCGUAACAAAGUAAAAGUACUGGAAAGUGUUUUUAGAU